UACGUAGGGCGCAAGCGUUGUCCGGAAUUAUUGGGCGUAAAGAGCUCGUAGGCGGCCAGUUGCGUCUGCUGUGAAAUCCCGGGGCUCAACCCCGGGCGUGCAGUGGAUACGGGCUGGCUAGAGGCAGGCAGGGGAGAACGGAAUUCCCGGUGUAGCGGUGAAAUGCGCAGAUAUCGGGAGGAACACCGGUGGCGAAGGCGGUUCUCUGGGCCUGUACUGACGCUGAGGCACGAAAGCAUGGGGAGCAAAAGGG
RNAcentral lists this ribosomal RNA (253 nucleotides) under uncultured bacterium. Its description in RNAcentral is "partial 16S ribosomal RNA". It matches the Rfam family "Bacterial small subunit ribosomal RNA", at positions 524 to 776 of the family's 1533-position model. The record is from RNAcentral.